AGCGAACGCUGGCGGCGUGCCUAACACAUGCAAGUCGAACGUGAAAGGGAGCAAUCCCACGUAAAGUGGCGUACGGGUGAGUAACACGUAGGUAAUCUACCCCAGAAUCUGGAAUAACCGGCCGAAAGGCUGGCUAAUACUUGAUAGAGCGACGGAAUCCGUAAUUGGGUUUUUCGGGAAAGGGAGCCUGUAAAAAGGCCUUCGUUCUGGGAUGAGCCUGCGUCCCAUCAGCUAGUUGGUGAGGUAAAAGCUUACCAAGGCAAUGACGGGUAGCUGGUCUGAGAGGAAGGUCAGCCACACUGGAACUGAAACACGGGCCAGACUCCUACGGGAGGCAGCAGGGGGGAAUCUUGCGCAAUGGACGAAAGUCUGACGCAGCAACGCCGCGGGAGUGAAGAAGGCCUUCGGGUUGUAAAGCUCUGUCGAGUGGGACGAAAAUGCUUGGAGUUCACAGCUCCAGGAACUGACGGUACCACUAAAGGAAGCACCGGCUAACUCCGUG
Molecule: ribosomal RNA, 502 nt
Filed under: uncultured bacterium
Lineage: Bacteria
Description: partial 16S ribosomal RNA
Rfam family: Bacterial small subunit ribosomal RNA
Source: RNAcentral